This 460-nucleotide ribosomal RNA is filed under the name uncultured bacterium. RNAcentral's name for it is "partial 16S ribosomal RNA". It matches the Rfam family "Bacterial small subunit ribosomal RNA", at positions 338 to 795 of the family's 1533-position model. The record is from RNAcentral.
CCUACGGGAGGCAGCAGUGAGGAAUAUUGGUCAAUGGACGAGAGUCUGAACCAGCCAAGUAGCGUGAAGGAUGACUGCCCUAUGGGUUGUAAACUUCUUUUAUAAAGGAAUAAAACGAGGCACGUGUGCCUUUUUGCAUGUACUUUAUGAAUAAGGCUCGGCUAACUCCGUGCCCGCAGCCGCGGUAAUACGGAGGAUCCGAGCGUUAUCCGGAUUUAUUGGGUUUAAAGGGAGCGUAGAUGGGUUGUUAAGUCAGUUGUGAAAGUUUGCGGCUUAACCGUAAAAUUGCAAUUGAUACUGGCAGUCUUGAGUACAGUUGAGGUAGGCGGAAUUCGUGGUGUAGCGGUGAAAUGCUUAGAUAUCACGAAGAACCCCGAUUGCGAAGGCAGCUUACUAAACUGUGACUGACAUUGAUGCUCGAAAGUGUGGGUAUCAAACAGGAUUAGAUACCCUGGUAGUC